RNAcentral lists this ribosomal RNA (466 nucleotides) under uncultured bacterium. RNAcentral describes it as "partial 16S ribosomal RNA". It matches the Rfam family "Bacterial small subunit ribosomal RNA", at positions 28 to 507 of the family's 1533-position model. The record is from RNAcentral.
GACGAACGCUGGCGGCGUGCUUAACACAUGCAAGUCGAACGGAAAGGCCCUGCUUGCAGGGUACUCGAGUGGCGAACGGGUGAGUAACACGUGGGUGAUCUGCCCUGCACUUCGGGAUAAGCUUGGGAAACUGGGUCUAAUACCGGAUAGGAACCAUCUUUAGUGUGGUGGUUGGAAAGUUUUUUCGGUGUAGGAUGAGCUCGCGGCCUAUCAGCUUGUUGGUGGGGUAAUGGCCUACCAAGGCGGCGACGGGUAGCCGGCCUGAGAGGGUGUACGGCCACAUUGGGACGGAGAGACGGCCCAGACUCGUACGGGAGGCAGCAGUGGGGAAUAUUGCACAAUGGGCGCAAGCCUGAUGCAGCGACGCCGCGUGGGGGAUGAAGGCCUUCGGGUUGUAAACUCCUUUCGCUAGGGACGAAGCUUUGUUGUGACGGUACCUAGAUAAGAAGCACCGGCUAACUACGUG